RNAcentral lists this ribosomal RNA (433 nucleotides) under uncultured bacterium. RNAcentral's name for it is "partial 16S ribosomal RNA". It matches the Rfam family "Bacterial small subunit ribosomal RNA", at positions 29 to 507 of the family's 1533-position model. The record is from RNAcentral.
AACGAACGCUGGCGGCAUGCCUAACACAUGCAAGUCGAACGAGACCUUCGGGUCUAGUGGCGCACGGGUGCGUAACGCGUGGGAACCUGCCCUUAGGUUCGGAAUAACUCCCCGAAAGGGGUGCUAAUACCGGAUAAUGUCUUCGGACCAAAGAUUUAUCGCCUUUGGAUGGGCCCGGGUUGGAUUGGCUGGUUGGUAGGGUAAAAGCCUACCAAGGCGACGAUCCAUAGCUGGUCUGAGAGGAUGAUCAGCCACACUGGGACUGAGACACGGCCCAGACUCCUACGGGAGGCAGCAGUGGGGAAUAUUGGACAAUGGGCGAAAGCCUGAUCCAGCAAUGCCGCGUGAGUGAUGAAGGCCUUAGGGUUGUAAAGCUCUUUUACCCGGGAUGAUAAUGACAGUACCGGGAGAAUAAGCUCCGGCUAACUCCGUG